AGAACGAACGCUGGCGGCAGGCUUAACACAUGCAAGUCGAACGCGUGUAGCAAUACACGAGUGGCGCACGGGUGAGUAACGCGUGGAUAUCUGCCUUUUGGUUCGGAAUAACCCCGGGAAACUGGGGCUAAUACCGGAUGGUUCCUUCGGGAUAAAGAUUUAUCGCCAAAAGAUGAGUCCGCGUACGAUUAGCUAGUUGGUGAGGUAAUGGCUCACCAAGGCGACGAUCGUUAGCUGGUCUGAGAGGACGAUCAGCCACACUGGGACUGAGACACGGCCCAGACUCCUACGGGAGGCAGCAGUGGGGAAUAUUGGACAAGUGGGGGCAACCCGUGAUCCAGCCAUGCCGCGUGAGUGAUGAAGGCCUUCGGGUAGUAAGCUCGUUUUGGGCGGGACGA
RNAcentral lists this ribosomal RNA (398 nucleotides) under uncultured soil bacterium. RNAcentral's name for it is "bacterial SSU rRNA". It matches the Rfam family "Bacterial small subunit ribosomal RNA", at positions 26 to 448 of the family's 1533-position model. The record is from RNAcentral.